CCCGUUGCGGAGCACAGGCUCCGGACGCGCAGGCUCAGCGGCCAUGGCUCACGGGCCCAGCCGCUCCACGGCAUGUGGGAUCUUCCCGGACCGGGGCACGAACCUGCGUCCCCUGCAUCGUCAGGCGGACUCUCAACCACUGCGCCACCAGGGAAGCCCCCUUCAUACCUUUUGAUGGAGGGCAGAAGACCGUAAAUGUACAGUGUUAUCCCCCUCACAUGAAUGCAGGCUGCUUCUGGCCUUCAUUCUCAGUAGAGAUGGAUAAGAAUACAUUUGCCAGAGUGACCAUGUGCCAGGUGUCACCAUGUACCUGAAGCAGUGUUAAUUUGCAUUUGUGUUUUUUGUAGGGACCUGGCUAGUGAAUCAGUUGGGAAUAUGAGAGCUACCACCCCUCUCUUUUCUAUCUCUUCUCAUCCCUACAGCCCUGUGCUAGGUACAGAUUAUGGACACGAAAGGUCUUUGACCUCAAGGAGCUCACAAUUGAAACCAUGCACCAGUGGAGGAGUCUGGACGUGCCAGGAUUUCAGCCUGCAACGUGAGUGGGUUUGUGGCUAAGAAGAUAAACCCUGUGAUGUGCUGGAGCUUUUCUAUUAGCUUCGGAGCUUGUAUUUUUCCUCCCUCGAGAGGUGCCCAGAUCCCUGACUGAAAAGGAGACAGCUUCCUGGAGGGCUGGGAAGGACAGGGCUAUCCUGCUGGGACCUGCCCUAUCAGCGGUGACACACAACCCCGC
Non-coding RNA from Kogia breviceps (pygmy sperm whale), 730 nucleotides. NCBI's taxonomy places the organism in Eukaryota, Metazoa, Chordata, Mammalia, Artiodactyla, Physeteridae. The record is from RefSeq and is a predicted model, not a curated record.